This is a long non-coding RNA of Hemicordylus capensis (graceful crag lizard), 263 nucleotides long. RefSeq lists it as uncharacterized. The record is from RefSeq and is a predicted model, not a curated record. The transcript is spliced from 3 exons. NCBI's taxonomy places the organism in Eukaryota, Metazoa, Chordata, Lepidosauria, Squamata, Cordylidae.
CAGCAAGCCAGGAAGGAGGAGGCUGGCAGAGCUCCCUGCAGCAGACCAGACAGCUUUUGCAAGCAGAUGUUCCUGGCAUCUGUGAGCAGAAAAGGCUUCCCGUGCAGUGAUCAAAGGCCAAUAAAUUCUAGGAAAGAAGAGCUUUGUUAACUCAGAGGCUGAAACAAGAAGAAAAUGGCAACAACAAAACCUAUGAUAUUAUUUUCCUUUUUAAGUACCCUGGAUUUAUAAAAAAUCAUUUAGCAUGCAUUUUUCCAAACAGA